CCCUUAGAUGUCCUGGGCCGCACGCGCGCUACACUGAUGCAUUCAACGAGUUUUACCUUGGCCGAGAGGCCUGGGCAAUCUUUUAAACCUGCAUCGUGAUAGGGAUAGAUUAUUGCAAUUAUUAAUCUUGAACGAGGAAUUCCUAGUAAACGCAAAUCAUCAAUUUGCAUUGAUUACGUCCCUGCCCUUUGUACACACCACCCGUCGCACCUACCGAUUGAAUGGUCCGGUGAAGCCUCAGGAUUGUGGCCAGUUCACUUUAUUGGGAGUUGGCUGUGAGAACUUGUCUAAACCUUAUCAUUUAGAGGAAGGUGAAGUCGUAACA
RNAcentral lists this ribosomal RNA (325 nucleotides) under uncultured eukaryote. RNAcentral's name for it is "partial 18S ribosomal RNA". It matches the Rfam family "Eukaryotic small subunit ribosomal RNA", at positions 1470 to 1796 of the family's 1831-position model. The record is from RNAcentral.